CCAGACUCCUACGGGAGGCAGCAGUGGGGAAUAUUGCACAAUGGGCGCAAGCCUGAUGCAGCCAUGCCGCGUGUAUGAAGAAGGCCUUCGGGUUGUAAAGUACUUUCAGUCGGGAGGAAGGUGGUAAGGUUAAUAACCUUAUCAAUUGACGUUACCGACAGAAGAAGCACCGGCUAACUCCGUGCCAGCAGCCGCGGUAAUACGGAGGGUGCAAGCGUUAAUCGGAAUUACUGGGCGUAAAGCGCACGCAGGCGGUCGGUCAAGUCGGAUGUGGAAUCCCCGGGCGCAACCUGGGAACUGCAUUCGAAACUGGCAGGCUGGAGUCUUGUAGAGGGGGGUAGAAUUCCAGGUGUAGCGGUGAAAUGCGUAGAGAUCUGGAGGAAUACCGGUGGCGAAGGCGGCCCCCUGGACAAAGACUGACGCUCAGGUGCGAAAGCGUGGGGAGCAAACAGGAUUAGAUACCCGCGUACAC
RNAcentral lists this ribosomal RNA (472 nucleotides) under uncultured bacterium. RNAcentral describes it as "bacterial SSU rRNA". It matches the Rfam family "Bacterial small subunit ribosomal RNA", at positions 331 to 798 of the family's 1533-position model. The record is from RNAcentral.